Athene cunicularia (burrowing owl) is the source of this 3741-nucleotide long non-coding RNA. RefSeq lists it as uncharacterized. The transcript has 3 exons. The record is from RefSeq and is a predicted model, not a curated record. Lineage: Eukaryota; Metazoa; Chordata; Aves; Strigiformes; Strigidae.
GCUGGUCUUGAAUGUCAAGAUCCAAACUGAUAGCAUCCAUCACUCUCUCCAGCAUUUCGGGGAUGCAUCUUCUCUGUAUCACCCACCUCGAACCUGCUCCCUUAGCAGCUCCUUUUUUUCAUGUUAUCCAGCCCUGUCAUAGUAGCUAUUGUGAGAUAGUCAGCUCUUACUGCAUGAAAACUGAAAGCAAUGAUCCUAGCUCAAGAGAGAGAAGGCUUGUUUAUUCUCAUUUAUGCCAAGAGUAUGAGUGAGAGUCCAAGGCAGAGUCCCAGAGUAGUCACACCCCAAGGUAGUUUUGAAUUUCCACUUGAGACUGAAGACCUCAGAAGGGCAUAUUUCUUGUUUAUCUGGCAAGUUAUACUACCCUGAGAGGAAGAGUUAGAAGCACAGAAAGAUAAAAAUUUGAAUGCUGGCCAUACUUUGGAGAAGAGAGAGGUAAACAACCACCACAGGAUGUUCCCAUGCACAACUCACGUACAGGGGCUUUGGUAUCACCACUAGCAAGGCGACUGCAUUGCCAGAUACACACAACCUGUUGUGACCUGACCUAGGGGCUUAAAGAGACCAUGGUUGAUUUAACCGGUGUCACAGCUAGAGUUCCCUGUUCACAGCUCAGGAGGUAAAUGACUGUUACUUGUUUUAAUAGCUCUACACUGUGCUCCACGCACCUGUACACCCUCAGCUGGGGACUGUACAGACCGGACAAAAGACAACCCUUUUCUCCAGCAUAUAUUCAUGAUUUUAUUUACUAAAUACACUAUUAGAGACAUAGGUGUGUGGUCAUUUCUAGAAGACACUUUAAAAAACUCAUUACAGGAAACAUUAAUAAAAUAAACCUUUACUGGCUAAUGGUUUUGCACAAGCAUAUUGUAACAGAGUAAUUCUGGGUUGUUACUUCUCUUUGUUUAUCCUCCUGCUUAGGACUAGCUUCUGAAGAGUAAAGGUGAAGUUGGUAAGAGCUAGACCAUAAAAUUCCUGAUUUUAUUUUCUAGGCAAUACGGAUCUCUGUCUGUCCAUCAUACCAGCCUGGGGGAGAGCUCACACAUCCAAGGUAUAAUUGAAAAUUGAUGAGAAGAGGGGAGGAGGGAAUCUGAAGUUUACCUUAGGCAUGUCCUCCCUGGGUGGCAGAAUGGAAGUACUACAAGAAUAAUGAAGUCUGAAGAAGAGGCCCAGAAAGCUAUCACAAUAAGCCUAGAGCUGUGCCUGAAGACAGAAAGGUGCUGUGAACCUUGCCCUAAGCACCAAACUGAAGCUGAGUAAGACUAAGCUUGAACCCUCCCGCCACAUGAGUUGUUGGUGAGAACAGGUUUCCUCUUGCGAGUAGAAGAGUAUAAUUCUAUUAUUUAAUUUUUGUAAAGGUACUAUAUGAAGUUAUGAUUAUUUUGUUUUGUUUUACAUCUUGAGUGGGAGCAAGUAAAUCUCAGAGAAGCCCAAGGGAAUUAAACACUUGGCCCCCAUCAGACUGAAAAGGAAGUCAUGUGCCUAAUCCUAUUAGUGCCUGUGAAAUUCCCAGACCUAAUAUUAGCUCCAGACAUUGCUCCACUGAGAUCCCUUUGAGAGUAAGAAAAAAAAACAUAUUGCUUUAGUGCAAUUUGUUCUCCCUAACCAUGUUAUCGCAUUGGAGUUAACAGCAAUAAUUUAUGUUCCAUUAUGUGCAGUACUUAAUUUAGAUAGGCCAACUGCCUUCUUGUACAGUUGCCAGCAAAAGAGUGCAUAGUCUCAGGAAACAGCAAGUGUGCAGGUUUCCCAUCUUGCUGCUGUUCUGGGCCAGGGGUGGGAGAGAGAUGGGGUUUUGUUCCCAUCCCACAGGGAACUAACCCUGGUCUGAGCAAAUGCCCUUCCCCAAAAAUACAAGGUUCCUCUCACAGCCAUGGUUGUGUCUUGUCCACACCUCACAGGUGCAGAAUAUUCAAGUGCUUAUUCAUGGAAGCAUUUCUUAGCAGUCUGAGAAGGUCUUCUCCAUCCUUUAGAGAGCCAUUAACAUUAAUCAGGUAAGAAAUAUGGGAUUUGUCGGGCAAACUUUUUUAUCAUGUUCUGAUAGUGAGACUCUCUCUGACCUUACCUGCUGUCAGGGAGAGCAAGCGAUGCUUCCCCAUCUCUGUGACAGAUUACACCAUUAUAACCCCAAUAAAUGGUCUGUACCGAAAACCUUCAACUUCUUAAAAAAAGGAAAAAGUGAAUAUAGACCUUUAAAAUACUGGAGAUUAGGAAUAAAGCUUUGUAAAUUAUGGGAAUUACAUGAUUAUGUGCUGGGUUUAACAUGGGAGGAACAAAGCAGCAAAACGAGGAAAUAGACUGAACAAAGGUUAGAGAUAUAUUUUUGUGCAGUUGCUUAAAGUAAUGCCUUACAGCUGGAAGAAAGCCCAGUUGUGCGUAAAACAAGUUGGCCUCGUUUACUCAAACAUGAUACUUGCAGAGGUUGUGUGAAGAGAGGAGUAACCGAAGGUUUUCCCCCCAGGAAGCCUCAGGCUCAGCUCUGUGGCACAAUGGGCCCCACUUCUGCAACCUGCAAGACAGCUUUGCUGUACAGAGGCAAAGUGCAAAGACAGUGGUUGUUAGGUUUGCAGUCCUCCGUCUACUGUCCUCUCUUGCCUGCAAAGAGGUAAGAGUAACUGUAUCAGCUGUACGGGGCUAUUUUCUGGCUGCUAAACUCUUAAGGAGACAAUUAUGCACACCCCAGUCAUCACAAUGAUCUGAACAGGAUUUAGCUCAAAUAAACCCACCUUCUUAAAUAUCCCCACAUAAAUGGAAAUGUUUGAUGGCCAAAGAAGCUGCAGGCCCCAUACUCUGCUCCGUAAGUCCUGCCUGGCUGGAGAGCUUUGACCAGAUGGAAUAAGGCACAGCAUUGACCUCCUUUUUGGAAACCACCAUGAAAGGGCUCAGACUUCCCCAGGCUGAUGGGGGAAACAGGAAUGCCAGGGGAGAGCCCAAACCACUGCCACGAGAGCCUUUUCUCCACGGACUGGAGAAGCAGCCUGUAACAGCAUACUUAGGUGUAUCUGCAUGGUAAAGAUCUACAGUUAAAAGAUGCAGCAGCUUCCAGCCUUAGUCUAGACUAUAUAACUUUGCUACAGCAGAAUUAAAAUAUGGGAAAAAAGGAGUGUAGCCAUUUCCUACUUUUAACAAGGAGCUUUGAUCUGAUGGGAAACAUACAAGAAAUAGCGUUUUCCUGAAAAUACUUGCAGUGUUUGUACUUAACUGCAGCCAAGGUGGGAGGAGAUUUAUAUGUAUUCUUAAAUCCUGCCUCGUUUCUUUCUUCUACCGAUUUUCCUUGUAAGUGGAGCAACUACUAGCAUGUAGCCACUUGUAACUUUAUGGGACAAAUAAAUAAAGGAGAUGUCACAAGACAACUAGGCCACUGCUGAAUCUGGCUUUUGCAAACCUUGCCCUACAUCAGCAAGAUGAAAACCAAAGGCAGUUCACAUCACAAGUCACAGCAAAGAAAAGAAAAACCACCUGUCGUCAGAAUCAACUGUGCUCUGCUCUAUUCUUUGCAAUCAGUCCCCUGGAAGCCUGCUUGUUGUAUCACAUCAGUUCUGUGCUGGUGUCUGUGCACUGGCAUUCACCACAGAUGGCAAGGUGGCAUCUGCUUUUGGUAGUCUGCCUUCUAGCAAAUGCCUUGGGGAGCAAUGUGCUUUGUCUUUCCAUCAGUGAGCAGGAAUGCCUGAGGUGGUGUGGCUGGCCUCAGGUGGCACAGCUCCAGCCCCAGCAAACUCACCAUAUAGCCCACUGCAAUCCUGU